UUUCUACUCCCUCCGUCUGAAAAUACUUGUCAUCAAAAUGGAUAAAAAGAGAUGUAUCUAAAAUUAAAAUACGUCUCUAUCUAAAACUAAAAUACGUUUAGAUAUAUUUCCUUUUAUCCAUUUUGAUGACAAGUAUUUCCGGACGGAGGGAGUAUUUG
This is a non-coding RNA of Triticum aestivum (bread wheat), 158 nucleotides long. Lineage: Eukaryota; Viridiplantae; Streptophyta; Magnoliopsida; Poales; Poaceae. The record is from Rfam.